AGUCAGAAAAUCCAGCAGGUUGUCCUCCUCUGCAGUGUUGCUCUCCCGGAGUUCCAUUCAGUGCCAUUAGCCAAGUACCUCAUUACCUUCUCCAGUUUCAUGAUUUUAUUCUCAGAAAAACAAAAAUGCAGGCCCAUAACUCUUUGGUUGGCCCAUGAUAAAGGGCAAAAGCCUGAAAGACUAGCAGAGAGAGUCUUCUGGUGCCCUCAGGAGGCCAGCAGGAGUGGGUCCUGUAACUAUCGCCCUUUGCAGAGCCAGUACGCCUCUUCUGUUCCCUCAAGAGGAACCUCCAAAUGUCUUUUCUUACUCUUUCUCACCAGUCCUCUACCUGUCAGUACAUCCUGUCCCUUCUUCUGAUCCUAAAGUAGAAAGACCUACAAUGUCAAGAGCAGUAGUUUUUCAAUUGCCUUAGGUUGGUAUCAUUGAAACAGUAGAUCUGAUGCAUCGUCUUUUUAGCGUUAACACUUUACAAUUAUGUAUUUGAUUCUAUAUUCUUUUUCUUGAAUGUUACAGAGUCUAUAAUCUUAUUAUAUUUGAAAACAGUGCCCUGAAUUAUACUUUACUACACUUAAUGUCUUUCUAUUUGAAAACUUUAACCUUGUUGUUUGGUAGUUUGAGUUCUUUAAGCUUGUUGAGAAUGUUAAGCUUGUUGUUUAGUAGUUGCUAUGGAAUGAGGUCCUGAGUUUUAAGUCAGUUCUUUCUUUGUAUUAUGUGUCAGCUGUGACCCAGGACCUCAGUGCUAGUCCAGCAUAUAUUCUGGUCCAUGAUUGUUGUGGAAAACCCAAGGCAGAGCUCGGUUUCCUGCCAACUCUUCUCCAGAAAGCUGUGAUUAUUAGAAAUAGCAAUGUUGAUUUCUGGUACAAAAAGAAGCUUGUGAUUUCCUCACUUCUAUAAAAUACUUUCUGAACCGAAGAACAUUUGCACGUCUCCAAAGGCUCCCCUAUUACAGUGUGAAUGUCAGCUGCUCCUUCCCAAGUGAGACCGGGUGGUUUUUCCCAUCAUCUGUAUAUACAGCUGAGUUACUUUCUGGUUCCUUCCCUGGCCCUUUUCUCCUCUACAGUCCUAAUCCAUUCCAACUAUCCUGUGGCCUCAAAUUAGUAAGAAAUUUUUCUUAACUUUUUCUAUCAUAAUUAUAUCUCUCAUUUUUUUUCUGAUGGGAGUAGCGGUGAUAUUAUCCCAGUGAACACAUAUGCACCCAUGGAAAUAUCCUCUAAGGAGCGUCCUAUUUCUGUCUGGUAAGCAAUGAGGAGACACAGUGCUGACUUUUCUGCACCUUAGUUAUCCAGUCAUCCAUUGACCCUUCAGGCCAAGCCAGAGCCCCUGUACAAGGAAGACUGGGAGAAGGUACUGGGUCAGUUUGCCGGUAGAAGUUGGAAGGUGUGUGCUGAACACCAUGAAAGUGGAAGUAGCCAUGUAGGGUGGGUGUUUUGUGUGCCAGCCAACACCAUUCAGAGAAAUCUGUUCAGGUUCCAGGGCCAUUACUUUUUACCUUUUCUCAAGAUCAACCAACAUCCUCAAGGGCACUGUUUUUCAAACUAUAAGUCUUGACCCAUUAGUGGUCCAUGAAAUCAAUUUAACAGCUCAAGCCCUGAAUAUUUCAAAAGUGGAAUAGAAGAGAGCUAUGCAUGGAGCAAGAUCAAACAUUGUUAAAUACUCUAUAUACUGUGUAUACUAGGUCACAAUAUAAAAUGUUAUUUCCUAUUGUGAAUUGCAGUUUAAAGAAACACAAAACUAAAACAAAAAUGAAAACCUUGAGGCCAUUGCAAGUGGAAGUGCAGGCUGGCCAGUGAUUGUUGAAACAUUCGGACUGUGUGGAGCCUGACCUCAAAUAGGCUCAAAGAGCCACCACUCAGGGAGUCUGCAGAUUGGGAGCGCUCUUGAUCUCUAGAGUGAGAAGAUGGGAUAGCUCUUGUUUUGGUUUAUAAAAUGUUUUCCUUUCAUGGUGUGUAAAACCAGGCAUCAGUGGGACCAGAAAAAGAAUAGAAAAGUUCGAUCCACAAACAGUGCCCCAAAAGGCCACAGGAUAUUAACUUGAUGCAUUUCAGCCUGCCUCCUACUAAGCAUUUUACUAGGAGUGGAGACAGAGGUUCUCCUUUGAAUUUGCUUCAUCUACCUUCUCUCGGAUUCAUCAUACAGGUAGCAAAGGCCCUUAAAAAUAGGGAGCUAGUAUACACAGGUUACAUUCUUCCGGGGCCAAACUGCUCAUUCAUUGGAGGGUGCUAUAAAAAUGCCAAUGCAAUUUAGCUGAAAAUAAUUAGAUUUCCUCAUUUCUGUGGGAUUCAAGUAGGAAAUGUAGAUAACCUGCAUUCCUUAUGCAGUAUUCAAUACACAAUUUAUUCAUCCUGAUUUUCUUCGGUGCUACCCUGUUUAUCACUUAAAGCUCCUUUCCAUAUUCUUAAGGGAAGCAUUUACCCUCUGGGCCACACCUUUGAAAUGAUGCCUUGCUGCUAAUGCUAACCUAAUCAAGUGGGCAUUAAUCUGUUAAAUUUCUUAUGAUUCUUGUUAUCUACAUUUUUGAUAAUUGGCUGUUAGUGCAGCUAUUAGUGCAGACUUUCCCCCCGUACUUUUCUGCCACAAUUGGUAUAAAGUAGUACUUGUUUCAGGGCUCUCCUUCAAGCAGCUCAGCACACGUACUGAGAAGAUACUGGGUCUUAUGUGAUUUGUUACUUGCCCUUGAGUUGGCUCUGACUCCUGGCGACUCUGAAUGAGUGAUGUCCACAGUGUCCUGUCCUCGGCAGCCCUGCUCAGCUCCUGUAGUCUCCUGCCUAUGGCUUCUUUAAUGCAGUCAAUACACCUACUUGUUCUUCCUCUUUUCCUGCUGCCUUCUGUUUUCCCCAACAUCAUUGUUUUUUCCAAAGAAUCCUGCCUUCUCAUAAUGUGCCCAAAGUAGGACAGUCCUACGCUAUUACAAACCUCCUUCAUGUUUCUUUACUUGAAACAAUUUUUACUUUAUUGCCUCCUUUGUAAAAUAAAUUGUUCUAUAUUGUUUUUUUAAAGUUUUACUUUAGAAUUACAGAUUCGUUCUUUUUUAAAAAGCAUUAUGACAUUUUCCAAAAAAAGAUAAUUUUGGUUACCUGAAGAGCUAUAUGAGAGGUGUAACUUCAAAUUUUAUCGAUUGAUAGGAGUGUGUUUAAAUUCUUUUUACUUUAUACAAAUACAAAUUUUAUUAUAGUUUAACACCUGCUAUGAUAGACUUCUGUCAACCUGUCACUGAGCACCAUUCAUUUAGUAUUGCUCUGCUCCCUUAAUAAUGUGUUUCUCCUAAGGGUGUUCCUUGCAACAAGAAACCCUGUGUGAGUGAUAUAAUAAAAAGUCUAAUAAUCAUAACUGUACUUAAAGUAGAAUAUGUUGGAAAACCUCAACAUUUCUUAAUAUGCUAUCAUACCACCAGCAUCCCAUUGGCUACCCCAAGGUUACCAAUUUGGGGACUGAAAAACAUCCAAGUGAAAAUGUAGAUGACAUUGAAAUGGCAAUAAUUUCAUAUCCAUACUCACAAACUAUCAGAAAUUGUAUCUGGGGCUUGUUGCAAGGUCAGAUAGAUUGUCACAGACUUUUUUAAAUAGUCAUAUCUGGAUGUAAAUAUGUAAAUUACAUAUAAAAAUGAAUUUUUCAGGGAAUGUGCACUUUAAAACUGAUUAAUUUUUGUAUUAAUCAAAUAGUGCUUCUUUGGAAUGCUUAUUCUUUGGUAAAAUACAGUCAUUGAUGAUGAUAAUUUAUUUAUUAAAUGGCUCUUUCUGUAUCUGCAGUAUUUCCUUCACUCUUGUGUUCCUUAUCCCUUUUAUGUGGGCUCCUGGCCCGAUUGCCUGUUACACAGUCUCUGCUUUUGUGCAUUCUGAUAAGAUAGUUUAUAAACACAAAUGUUUACAAUGAAGUUCUUCCUUUUGAAAUUGAUGUAUUUUUCCCCCCUUUGGUUGGUUAUGCUCACUAAUGACUAAUUUUUCUAAACAAUAAUUAUUUCUUGCUAUUGGUAGGAUUAAAUUACUUGGUCAGGUGAUUGCCCGGUUUAAUUAUGUAUAUCAUUUUUAAAUAAAUUAAGUCAAAUAAAGAUUUCUGGUUUUUCAGUCCUCCUCUGUUUUUCCUUAAUUGGAUCGAACUAGAAAUAUUACCAAUAAUCUUUUCCUUGCCUACCUAAACCCUACCCUUUUUGGGGCCUAAAUAAGUGUGGACAUCUAACAGAUUGCCAAGGUCCUGAUUUUUCCGUCAAAGCCAGCGACAGUAUCCAGCCCAGCAUGAUUGUUGCUGGCUAAAAGCUUGAGAGCAUCAAGACUGUGCCUCUCAACCUCAGAAAACUUCAGAUGGCUCAUUUCCUCAGUAAGUAAUGAGUAUCUUCUGAAAGAAGGGCUAGGAGGGUAUUUUCUUCCUGCAGAAUUAACAUUGACAGAAAUAGUUAAUUCACCUUUGAUAGGGAGAGUUCAGCCUUUUCCUUAAGAAGAUUCUUCACUACCUUUGGUUACGAUUUAUUUGACAGCCCUCUGCAAUUACAAGUGAUCAAAAGCCAUCAUCUUCUCGCAUGCUUUGUCAGCCAAAGGUAAGUUAAAAAUAACAAUAACUUGAUGCUAGAAAGUGCCUUAAAUUUUUUGAAUUCCCCUCAUUACUGAUUCUUUUGAGCCCUUUUCCUGUUAGUUGGGCGAUCAGAAGCAGUUCAUGAUGUUUAGUGCAUGGUGCCCACCCCCCUCCCUGUACCCAGCGUUGUCUUCUUUUUUCUGUUUCUAGAUAUCCUUAAGAGCUAUUUUCCAAUCUUUGUUCUCUCAUGCAAAUUUUCCUGGUUAUUUCUGGGCCUUUACUAUUCCAGAUAAAACUUUGACAUCAGUUUCUCAGGUUUCACAAAAACUUGCAUUUGCAUUCAUUUCUUGAAGUUUAUAAAGCUUAAUGUUGCAACAGUAGGAUCACUUGCUAUCAGCAUAAUUCCUUUCUCUCCCAACAUUGAUGCUCUUGCCUUUAAUAGCCUCUCACUUGGAAGAGAUCCAGCAGAAUGAGAACCCGGCUGCCUUAACUGCUGAUAGAAGACUUAGUACCGUUCCGGGAACACCAACACACUGUUCCACAGCACACCUCACUAAUCUGGUUUGGCAACUCAUGAGGGGACCCGCUGAGACGCCACUCUUGCUCUGGAGCCUGCAGACAGGACCCUGGAACCCUUGCAGAAGCAGCCCAGGAUAAGAAGCCUGCUCUCCCGAAUCUCUGUACUGCCCCAUGGAGAGAGGACAGGAAAAAUCAUCUGCCCGUUCCUUCCCAUCAUUUAGGUAAGCAGGAAACAAUAUUUGUAUGAACUAGUCCCUUGGGCAUAGAUGUUGGUAAAGAUUUUAUUAUACGCUCGUUUUCUAUUGAUCCCUCCCCUCCCAGAGAUGUCUUCUCUUAUCUCUGUCUUUUGUGUUGUUUGUCAUAAGGAGGAAAACCAUAGGCCAGAUGAGGUUUUCCUCCUGUCUUAAUCUAUGUCUUAAGAACUUGGCCUUUUGACCAGUUCAAAAAUACUCUGUGGUCUCCACCAGCUGGAAGAUGCCAGUAUGGGCUUGUCUCUAGCAGCCAACCGAAUAGGCUGGGAAUCAGACACACAACAUGGAUUGUCUUGGACUAUUGGUCUGCUCCUGAUAAAAGAUUGUGAAGGGUUUUCCACUUUUAGGUAAUUUGCCUAAGAAAGCAAAGAUUUUGUUUUACUAAAAUAACUAGAAGCCCGGUACACAAAAUUCGUGCAUUGGGGUGGGGGUGUCCCUCA
This is a long non-coding RNA of Myotis davidii, 5713 nucleotides long. RefSeq lists it as uncharacterized. The record is from RefSeq and is a predicted model, not a curated record. Lineage: Eukaryota; Metazoa; Chordata; Mammalia; Chiroptera; Vespertilionidae. The transcript is spliced from 3 exons.